AUUGGACUGACUGUGUGAAUGCAAGUAAAGAAGAGAAGCAUAGUACUGUGUGAGGCACCGUGUGAGGCACAUAAAUAAAAACAACAAAAUCAACAUGACAUUCAGAAGUCUAGGUGGAGACAAAGAAGAAGCAGAGUUUGGCAGUGGUGCUGUAGCAAGAACAUGGCAGUGACGUUAUUAACAGCAGUAGCAGUAGUGGUGAUGGAAACCAUGGUGGCAGUAGUGAUGAUGACAGCACUCUGGUGGCAGGGAUGGUGGCAAUCAA
Symphalangus syndactylus (siamang) is the source of this 265-nucleotide long non-coding RNA. RefSeq lists it as uncharacterized. The record is from RefSeq and is a predicted model, not a curated record. NCBI's taxonomy places the organism in Eukaryota, Metazoa, Chordata, Mammalia, Primates, Hylobatidae.